AAUAGAUACCCGGGUAGUCCACGCCCUAAACGAUGAAUGCCAGACGUCGGGCAGCAUGCUGUUCGGUGUCACACCUAACGGAUUAAGCAUUCCGCCUGGGGAGUACGGCCGCAAGGUUAAAACUCAAAGGAAUUGACGGGGGGCCCGCACAAGCGGUGGAGCAUGUGGUUUAAUUCGAAGCAACGCGCAGAACCUUACCAACCCUUGACAUGGGUAUCGCGGGACCAGAGAUGGUCCUUUCAGUUCGGCUGGAUACCACACAGGUGCUGCAUGGUUGUCGUCAGCUCGUGUCGUGAGAUGUUCGGUUAAGUCCGGCAACGAGCGCAACCCACACUUUCAGUUGCCAUCAUUCAGUUGGGCACUCUGGAAGAACUGCCGGUGAUAAGCCGGAGGAAGGUGUGGAUGACGUCAAGUCCUCAUGGCCCUUACGGGGUUGGGCUACACACGUGCUACAAUGGUGGUGACAAUGGGCCAAUCCCAAAAAGCCAUCUCAGUUCGGAUUGGGGUUCUGCAACUCGACCCCAUG
Molecule: ribosomal RNA, 526 nt
Filed under: uncultured bacterium
Lineage: Bacteria
Description: bacterial SSU rRNA
Rfam family: Bacterial small subunit ribosomal RNA
Source: RNAcentral